Molecule: ribosomal RNA, 253 nt
Filed under: uncultured bacterium
Lineage: Bacteria
Description: partial 16S ribosomal RNA
Rfam family: Bacterial small subunit ribosomal RNA
Source: RNAcentral
UACGUAGGGGGCGAGCGUUGUCCGGAGUUACUGGGCGUAAAGCGCUUGUAGGCGGUCCACCAAGUUUGGGGUGACAGUUGCCGACUUAAUCGGCAAAGUGCCUCAAAGACUGGCGGACUUGAGGGCCACAGAAGGACAUGGAACUCCAGGUGUAGUGGUGAAAUGCGUAGAUAUCUGGAAGAACACCAAAGGCGAAGGCAGUGUCCUGGGUGGUCGCUGACGCUGAGAGGCGAAAGCCAGGGGAGCGAACGGG